GGGCUCGUGGCUUAGCCUGGAUAUAGCACUGGCCUUCUAAGUCAGUGGUCUCGGGUUCGAAUCCCGACGAGCCCGCCA
Molecule: transfer RNA, 78 nt
Filed under: Methanobacteriota archaeon
Lineage: Archaea; Methanobacteriati; Methanobacteriota
Also listed under: 1 other name
Description: Euryarchaeota archaeon (anaerobic digester metagenome) tRNA-Arg
Rfam family: tRNA
About the family: Transfer RNA (tRNA) molecules are approximately 80 nucleotides in length. Their secondary structure includes four short double-helical elements and three loops (D, anti-codon, and T loops).
Source: RNAcentral